Molecule: ribosomal RNA, 253 nt
Filed under: uncultured bacterium
Lineage: Bacteria
Description: partial 16S ribosomal RNA
Rfam family: Bacterial small subunit ribosomal RNA
Source: RNAcentral
UACGGAGGGGGCUAGCGUUGUUCGGAAUUACUGGGCGUAAAGCGCACGUAGGCGGCUUUGCAAGUUAGAGGUGAAAGCCCGGGGCUCAACCCCGGAAUUGCCUUUAAAACUGCAUCGCUUGAAUUGUGGAGAGGUAAGUGGAAUUCCGAGUGUAGAGGUGAAAUGCGUAGAUAUUGGGAGGAACACCAGUGGCGAAGGCGGCUCACUGGACCGGAACUGACGCUGAGGCGCGAAAGCGUGGGGAGCAAACAGG